UACAGAGGUGGCAAGCGUUGUUCGGAAUUACUGGGCUUAAAGGGUUUGUAGGCGGCCAUGUAAGUCAGGUGUGAAAUCCCUCGGCUCAACCGAGGAACGGCGCUUGAUACUGCAUGGCUUGAGGGAGACAGGGGUAAGCGGAACUGAUGGUGGAGCGGUGAAAUGCGUUGAUAUCAUCAGGAACACCGGUGGCGAAGGCGGCUUUCUGGACAGGUACUGACGCUGAGACGCGAAAGCGUGGGGAGCAAACAGG
This 253-nucleotide ribosomal RNA is filed under the name uncultured bacterium. RNAcentral's name for it is "partial 16S ribosomal RNA". It matches the Rfam family "Bacterial small subunit ribosomal RNA", at positions 524 to 776 of the family's 1533-position model. The record is from RNAcentral.